Molecule: unclassified non-coding RNA, 210 nt
Filed under: plant metagenome
Description: partial contains small subunit ribosomal RNA, internal transcribed spacer 1, and 5.8S ribosomal RNA
Source: RNAcentral
UUUCCGUAGGUGAACCUGCGGAAGGAUCAUUCAUAAUAAGUGUUUUAUGGCACUUUUUAAAAAUCCAUAUCCACCUUGUGUGCAAUGUUAGAUCUCGUCAAUCUUGGCGAGAUUUUUAUACAUCAACUCAUUCUUUAACUGAUUUGUCUGAAAAAUAUUAUGAAUACUUAAUUCAAAAUACAACUUUCAACAACGGAUCUCUUGGCUCUC